UGGGGAAUAUUGCACAAUGGGGGAAACCCUGAUGCAGCGACGCCGCGUGAACGAAGAAGGUAUUCGUAUCGUAAAGUUCUGUCCUAUGGGAAGAUAAUGACAGUACCAUAGAAGAAAGCUCCGGCUAAAUACGUGCCAGCAGCCGCGGUAAUACGUAUGGAGCGAGCGUUGGCCGGAAUUAUUGGGCGUAAAGGGUACGCAGGCGGUUUAAUAAGUCGAAUGUUAAAGAUCGGGGCUCAACCCCGUAAAGCAUUGGAAACUGAUAAACUUGAGUAGUGGAGAGGAAAGUGGAAUUCCUAGUGUAGUGGUGAAAUACGUAGAUAUUAGGAGGAAUACCAGUAGCGAAGGCGACUUUCUGGACACAAACUGACGCUGAGGUACGAAAGCGUGGGGAGCAAACAGG
This 403-nucleotide ribosomal RNA is filed under the name bacterium. RNAcentral's name for it is "partial 16S ribosomal RNA". It matches the Rfam family "Bacterial small subunit ribosomal RNA", at positions 355 to 776 of the family's 1533-position model. The record is from RNAcentral.